AAAUAGAACCUGAAACCGUGUGCCUACAACAAGUUCGAGCCCGUUAAUGGGUGAGAGCGUGCCUUUUGUAGAAUGAACCGGCGAGUUACGAUAUGAUGCGAGGUUAAGUUGAAGAGACGGAGCCGUAGGGAAACCGAGUCUUAAUAGGGCGUAUUAGUAUCAUGUCGUAGACCCGAAACCAUGUGACCUACCCAUGAGCAGGUUGAAGGUGAGGUAAAACUCACUGGAGGACCGAACCAGGGCACGUUGAAAAGUGCUUGGAUGACUUGUGGGUAGCGGAGAAAUUCCAAACGAACUUGGAGAUAGCUGGUUCUCUCCGAAAUAGCUUUAGGGCUAGCGUCGACAUUAAGAUUCUUGGAGGUAGAGCACUGUUUGGGUGAGGGGUCCAUCCCGGAUUACCAAUCUCAGAUAAACUCCGAAUGCCAAUGAAUUAUGGUCGGCAGUCAGACUGCGAGUGCUAAGAUCCGUAGUCGAAAGGGAAACAGCCCAGACCACCAGCUAAGGUCCCAAAAUAAUUGUUAAGUGGAAAAGGAUGUGGGGUUGCACAGACAACUAGGAUGUUAGCUUAGAAGCAGCUAUUCAUUCAAAGAGUGCGUAAUAGCUCACUAGUCGAGUGACCCUGCGCCGAAAAUGUACCGGGGCUAAAACAAUUUACCGAAGCUGUGGAUACCUUUAUAGGUAUGGUAGGAGAGCGUUCUAUGUGUGGAGAAGGUGUACCGUGAGGAGUGCUGGAGCGCAUAGAAGUGAGAAUGCCGGUAUGAGUAGCGAAAGACAGGUGAGAAUCCUGUCCACCGUAAGACUAAGGUUUCCAGGGGAAGGCUCGUCCGCCCUGGGUUAGUCGGGACCUAAGGAGAGACCGAAAGGUGUAUCCGAUGGACAACAGGUUGAUAUUCCUGUACUAGAGUAUAUAGUGAUGGAGGGACGCAGUAGGCUAACUAAACCAGACGAUUGGAAGUGUCUGGCCAAGCAGUGAGGUGUGAUAUGAGUCAAAUGCUUAUAUCUUUAACAUUGAGCUGUGAUGGGGAGCGAAGUUUAGUAGCGAAGUUAGUGAUGUCACACUGCCGAGAAAAGCUUCUAGCGUUAAUUAUACUCUACCCGUACCGCAAACCGACACAGGUAGUCGAGGCGAGUAGCCUCAGGUGAGCGAGAGAACUCUCGUUAAGGAACUCGGCAAAAUGGCCCCGUAACUUCGGGAGAAGGGGCGCUGACUUAUGGUCAGCCGCAGUGAAUAGGCCCAAGCAACUGUUUAUCAAAAACACAGCUCUCUGCUAAAUCGUAAGAUGAUGUAUAGGGGGUGACGCCUGCCCGGUGCUGGAAGGUUAAGAGGAGUGCUUAGCGUAAGCGAAGGCAUGAAUUGAAGCCCCAGUAAACGGCGGCCGUAACUAUAACGGUCCUAAGGUAGCGAAAUUCCUUGUCGGGUAAGUUCCGACCCGCACGAAAGGCGUAAUGAUUUGGGCACUGUCUCAACG
RNAcentral lists this ribosomal RNA (1469 nucleotides) under human gut metagenome. Its description in RNAcentral is "bacterial LSU rRNA". It matches the Rfam family "Bacterial large subunit ribosomal RNA", at positions 541 to 2026 of the family's 2925-position model. The record is from RNAcentral.